Molecule: ribosomal RNA, 207 nt
Filed under: uncultured bacterium
Lineage: Bacteria
Description: partial 16S ribosomal RNA
Rfam family: Bacterial small subunit ribosomal RNA
Source: RNAcentral
CGCGUAGGCGGUCUUGUAAGCGGUGUGUGAAAGCCCGGGGCUCAACCCCGGAACUGCACUCCGAACUGCAGGGCUAGAGGACGAGAGGGGGCUGUGGAACUCUAGGUGGAGCGGUGAGAUGCGUAGAUAUCUAGAGGAACACCGGUGGCGAAGGCGACAGCCUGGCUCGUUUCUGACGCUGAGGCGCGAAAGCGUGGGUAGCAAACA